UACGAAGGGGGCUAGCGUUGCUCGGAAUCACUGGGCGUAAAGCGCACGUAGGCGGACUCUUAAGUCGGUGGUGAAAUCCUGGAGCUCAACUCCAGAACUGCCUUCGAUACUGGGAGUCUCGAGUUCGGGAGAGGUGAGUGGAACUGCGAGUGUAGAGGUGAAAUUCGUAGAUAUUCGCAAGAACACCAGUGGCGAAGGCGGCUCACUGGCCCGAUACUGACGCUGAGGCGCGAAGGCGUGGGGAGCGAACGGG
Molecule: ribosomal RNA, 253 nt
Filed under: uncultured bacterium
Lineage: Bacteria
Description: partial 16S ribosomal RNA
Rfam family: Bacterial small subunit ribosomal RNA
Source: RNAcentral